Molecule: ribosomal RNA, 464 nt
Filed under: uncultured bacterium
Lineage: Bacteria
Description: partial 16S ribosomal RNA
Rfam family: Bacterial small subunit ribosomal RNA
Source: RNAcentral
ACGAACGCUGGCGGCGUGCUUAACACAUGCAAGUCGUACGGUAAGGCCCUUUCGGGGGUACACGAGUGGCGAACGGGUGAGUAACACGUGAGUAACCUGCCCACAACUUUGGGAUAACGCUAGGAAACUGGUGCUAAUACUGGAUAUGUGCUCCUGCUGCAUGGUGGGGGUUGGAAAGCUCCGGCGGUUGUGGAUGGACUCGCGGCCUAUCAGCUUGUUGGUGGGGUAGUGGCCUACCAAGGCGGCGACGGGUAGCCGGCCUGAGAGGGUGACCGGCCACAUUGGGACUGAGAUACGGCCCAGACUCCUACGGGAGGCAGCAGUGGGGAAUAUUGCACAAUGGGCGCAAGCCUGAUGCAGCAACGCCGCGUGCGGGAUGACGGCCUUCGGGUUGUAAACCGCUUUCAGCAGGGACGAAGCUUUUUGUGACGGUACCUGCGGAAGAAGCACCGGCUAACUACGUG